CCUACGGGUGGCAGCAGUGAGGAAUAUUGGUCAAUGGACGCAAGUCUGAACCAGCCAUGCCGCGUGCAGGAAGACGGCUCUAUGAGUUGUAAACUGCUUUUGUACGAGGGUAAACGCAGAUACGCGGAUCGGUCCGAAAGUAACGUACGAAUAAGGAUCGGCGAACUCCGUGCCAGCAGCCGCGGUAAUACGGAUGAUUCAAGCGUUAUCCGGAUUUAUUGGGUUUAAAGGGUGUGUAGGCGGUCGGAUAAGUUAGAGGUGAAAUCCCGAGGCUCAACUUCGGAAUUGCCUCUGAUACUGUUCGGCUAGAGAGUAGUUGCGGUAGGCGGAAGGUAUGGUGUAGCGGUGAAAUGCUUAGAGAUCAUACAGAACCCCGAUUGCGAAGGCAGCAUACCAAGCUACUUCUGACGUUGAGGCACGAAAGCGUGGGGAGCAAACAGGAUUAGAUACCCCAGUAGUC
RNAcentral lists this ribosomal RNA (460 nucleotides) under uncultured bacterium. Its description in RNAcentral is "partial 16S ribosomal RNA". It matches the Rfam family "Bacterial small subunit ribosomal RNA", at positions 338 to 795 of the family's 1533-position model. The record is from RNAcentral.